Molecule: ribosomal RNA, 253 nt
Filed under: uncultured bacterium
Lineage: Bacteria
Description: partial 16S ribosomal RNA
Rfam family: Bacterial small subunit ribosomal RNA
Source: RNAcentral
UACAGAGGGUGCAAGCGUUAAUCGGAAUUACUUGGCGUAAAGCGCGCGUAGGUGGUUUGUUAAGUUGGAUGUGAAAGCCCCGGGCUCAACCUGGGAACUGCAUUCAAAACUGACAAGCUAGAGUAUGGUAGAGGGUGGUGGAAUUUCCUGUGUAGCGGUGAAAUGCGUAGAUAUAGGAAGGAACACCAGUGGCGAAGGCGACCACCUGGACUGAUACUGACACUGAGGUGCGAAAGCGUGGGGAGCAAACAGG